This 249-nucleotide ribosomal RNA is filed under the name uncultured bacterium. RNAcentral's name for it is "partial 16S ribosomal RNA". It matches the Rfam family "Bacterial small subunit ribosomal RNA", at positions 15 to 263 of the family's 1533-position model. The record is from RNAcentral.
GAUCCUGGCUCAGGACGAACGCUGGCGGCGUGCCUAACACAUGCAAGUCGAACGGAAGCAGAGAUUUCGGUUUUUGCUUUAGUGGCGAACGGGUGAGUAACGCGUGAGGAACCUGCCUUUCAGUGGGGGACAACAGUUGGAAACGACUGCUAAUACCGCAUAAUGCUUUUUGAUGGCAUCAUUGAAAAGCCAAAGAUUUAUUGCUGAAAGAUGGCCUCGCGUCUGAUUAGCUAGUUGGUGGGGUAACGG